AGAGUUUGAUCCUGGCUCAGGAUGAACCGCUGGCGGCGUGCUUAACACAUGCAAGUCGAACGAAGCACUACCGACGGAACUUUUCGGAGGGAAGAUGGUAAUGACUGAGUGGCGGACGGGUGAGUAACGCGUGGGCAACCUGCCCCAUAGAGGGGGACAACAGCUGGAAACGGCUGCUAAUACCGCAUAACAAGGAGAGAGCGCAUGUUCUUUUCUUCAAAGAUUUAUCGCUAUGGGAUGGACCCGCGUCUGAUUAGCUGGUUGGUGAGGUAACGGCUCACCAAGGCGACGAUCAGUAGCCGGCUUGAGAGAGUGGACGGCCACAUUGGGACUGAGACACGGCCCAGACUCCUACGGGAGGCAGCAGUGGGGAAUAUUGCACAAUGGGGGAAACCCUGAUGCAGCGACGCCGCGUGAGUGAAGAAGGUCUUCGGAUCGUAAAACCCUGUUGUUAGAGAAGAAAGUGCGUGAGAGUAACUGUUCACGUUUCGACGGUAUCUAACCAGAAAGCCACGGCUAACUACGUGCCAGCAGCCGCGGUAAUACGUAGGUGGCAAGCGUUAUCCGGAUUUAUUGGGCGUAAAGGGAACGCAGGCGGUCUUUUAAGUCUGAUGUGAAAGCCUUCGGCUUAACCGGAGUAGUGCAUUGGAAACUGGGAGACUUGAGUGCAGAAGAGGAGAGUGGAACUCCAUGUGUAGCGGUGAAAUGCGUAGAUAUAUGGAAGAACACCAGUGGCGAAAGCGGCUCUCUGGUCUGUAACUGACGCUGAGGUUCGAAAGCGUGGGUAGCAAAACAGGAUUAGAUACCCUGGUAGUCCACGCCGUAAACGAUGAAUGCUAAGUGUUGGAGGGUUUCCGCCCUUCAGUGCUGCAGCUAACGCAAUAAGCAUUCCGCCUGGGGAGUACGACCGCAAGGUUGAAACUCAAAGGAAUUGACGGGGGCCCGCACAAGCGGUGGAGCAUGUGGUUUAAUUCGAAGCAACGCGAAGAACCUUACCAGGGCUCAAACGACGGAUGAAUACUUUUGAAAGGAGGUAGUCCUUCGGGACAUCCGUCGAGGUGCUGCAUGGUUGUCGUCAGCUCGUGCCGUGAGGUGUCGGCUUAAGUGCCAUAACGAGCGCAACCCCCAUCGCCAGUUGCCAACAGGUAAAGCUGGGAACUCUGGCGAGACUGCCGGCGCAAGCUGUGAGGAAGGCGGGGAUGACGUCAAAUCAGCACGGCCCUUACGUCCGGGGCGACACACGUGUUACAAUGGCAGGUACAGAGAGAUGCGACACGGCGACGUGGAGCGGAACUGUCAAAACCUGUCUCAGUUCGGAUCGGAGUCUGCAACCCGACUCCGUGAAGCUGGAUUCGCUAGUAAUCGCGCAUCAGCCAUGGCGCGGUGAAUACGUUCCCGGGCCUUGUACACACCGCCCGUCA
RNAcentral lists this ribosomal RNA (1421 nucleotides) under uncultured bacterium. Its description in RNAcentral is "partial 16S ribosomal RNA". It matches the Rfam family "Bacterial small subunit ribosomal RNA". The record is from RNAcentral.